GCUGGGCGUGGUGGUGGGUGCCUGUAAUCCCAGAUGCUUGGGAGGCUGAGGCAGGAGAAUUGCUUGAACCCAGGAGGCGUAGGUUGCAGUGAGCCAAGAUCACGCCACUGCACUCCAGCCUGGGCGACAGAGCAAGACUCUGUCUCAA
This 148-nucleotide non-coding RNA is filed under the name Nomascus leucogenys (northern white-cheeked gibbon). Lineage: Eukaryota; Metazoa; Chordata; Mammalia; Primates; Hylobatidae. The record is from Rfam by way of RNAcentral.